This 634-nucleotide ribosomal RNA is filed under the name Stachybotrys nephrospora. RNAcentral's name for it is "eukaryotic LSU rRNA". It matches the Rfam family "Eukaryotic large subunit ribosomal RNA", at positions 158 to 822 of the family's 3401-position model. The record is from RNAcentral. Lineage: Eukaryota; Fungi; Ascomycota; Sordariomycetes; Hypocreales; Stachybotryaceae.
GAUGCUUUUGGUGAGGUGCCUUCCGAGUCCCCUGGAACGGGGCGCCAUAGAGGGUGAGAGCCCCGUCUGGUUGGAUACCGAACCUCUGUAAAGCUCCUUCGACGAGUCGAGUAGUUUGGGAAUGCUGCUCUAAAUGGGAGGUAUAUGUCUUCUAAAGCUAAAUACCGGCCAGAGACCGAUAGCGCACAAGUAGAGUGAUCGAAAGAUGAAAAGCACUUUGGAAAGAGAGUUAAACAGCACGUGAAAUUGUUGAAAGGGAAGCGUUUACGACCAGACUUAGGCCGGUUGAUCAACCAGCGUUCUCGCUGGUGCACUCUGCCGGCCUAGGCCAGCAUCAGUUCGUCUCGGGGGAUAAAGGCGUCGGGAAUGUAGCUCCCUCGGGAGUGUUAUAGCCCUUCGUGCAAUACCCUGAGGUGGACUGAGGUUCGCGCUCUGCAAGGAUGCUGGCGUAAUGGUCGUCAACGACCCGUCUUGAAACACGGACCAAGGAGUCGUCUUCGUAUGCGAGUGUUCGGGUGUAAAACCCCUACGCGUAAUGAAAGUGAACGCAGGUGAGAGCUUCAAAGGAAUCAUCGACCGAUCCUGAUGUUCUCGGAUGGAUUUGAGUAAGAGCAUACGGGGCCGGACCCGAAAG